GGGGGCGCAAUGGUUUCGACGGGGAUCGUGAAGCACGGGAAGCGAGUGGCGGUGCGGGACCGCCUCAACAAUCCGCACCUUAAAAGUAAACGUCGAUAACAACGAUUACGCUUUAGCGGCCUAGUGCCGCUCAUCCGGCGCGGGGGGGCCACGGACCGCGUUCGGGUGUCAUUUUAGUGGCGAACAUGUAUACGCGAGGGCCUCGUAGCGUAUCAGGUAUAUGAGGAUACUUGGCCCGCGAGCCUGACCACCGGCGCGCGGGGCGGGGAAUGCAAAAGAUGGUCUGCACUCGGAGAUGCCCGUGGGGAGCGGUUUUCGGACACGAGUUCGAUUCUCGUCGCCUCCACCA
Non-coding RNA from Clostridium sp. ATCC 29733, 349 nucleotides. The record is from Rfam. Lineage: Bacteria; Bacillati; Bacillota; Clostridia; Eubacteriales; Clostridiaceae.